UAUGGUCAGAGCAAAGCUUAAUAAUGUACAUUAAUUCCUGUCCCUUUAACACAUGACCAGGUGUUUUGAAUGAGAAAAUUCCUAAAAAUACCAGCCACUUUUCAUGCUAGCUUGUCUAACCACUUAUUUUAUUUUAUUUCUAUAACACUGAAUAAGACCGGAAAACACUACACCUAAAGUAUUCAUUGCAUUAAUUUUUGAAGAUGAAUGAAUAGUGUAACUCUGUAGUUUUCAUUUCUGGAGUUUAAUUAAAAAGAAAAAAGUCAAUACAGUAAUGAUGGCCUGGUGAUCCCCACCUGGGGCCUCUCCCCACCCUGCCCACCUCCCUAUUUCAGCCCAGCCUGGGCUCCUUGGCCUGGGUUUUGGUGGUGCUCUCUUGCUCCCUCCAGCCCUGUUUGGUUGUGGGCUGAUGUCCUGGGCUGUCCCUGUGCCCAGGGAGGUGACAGAGGGGUGUGGGGGCUGUCUCCUCCCUGCCCUGCUCAGGUCCUGCCCACGCUGGAGGUCCCUCCCAGCACUCCAAGGUUAUAUUAUGCCUGGAUUAUUAUAGGUAAAUUUUACUGAGGAAGAAAUGCCACACUUAUCUCGGUUCUCCUUUACUUCUUUCCCCCAGUACAAAGAUGUGCCCAGGAGACUCUCCAUGGAAGCUUUCCAGACCAGAACAUAUCAGGAACUGGUACAAUUGCCUCAAGUGCCCCAAUUGGAAUCUGAACAUCUGUAUUUGUUACUGCAUUCCAAAAUAUGGUCAUUUCACCAGGCCACUUCCCUGGGCAGCUGUUCCAAUGCCUGAUAACCCUUCCCAUGAAGAAUAUUCAAUCUACAUCUUGUCUGGUGCAACUUGAGGCCGUUUCUUCUUAUCCUGGUAUUGCAUACUUGUGUCAUUCUUGUGUGUGGCAUCUUGCUGCAUCUAUAAGAUUACAGUUUCAAAGGCCAAGUCAUGUUGAGUUCCUACAUCAAUAUGGUUCCAGUGCUGUAAAACACAAUUUCCUGGUAUCUGAUAUGGGUCAGGAGGGUUGGCUUGUGUCCAUUCCAUCAUCUGCAAGGAUGCACAAUACUUCUGCACUUGUACUUCCUUGUGUAUUACUUGCACUGCAAUAACAUCCCAAUGCUCUUCUCAAGACUAGACCACAAUUUGUUACCUGUGUACAAGACACACAGUUUUGCACUUAACCUUUUUAUGAUGUAUCAGUAAAUAUAUUAUCAAAUUUGAGUUAGUAAAUUUAAAAUCCUAAGGCUUAAGGCAAUGAUCAU
Molecule: long non-coding RNA, 1248 nt
Organism: Prinia subflava (tawny-flanked prinia)
Lineage: Eukaryota; Metazoa; Chordata; Aves; Passeriformes; Cisticolidae
Exons: 3
Source: RefSeq, a predicted model, not a curated record